RNAcentral lists this ribosomal RNA (292 nucleotides) under uncultured bacterium. Its description in RNAcentral is "partial 16S ribosomal RNA". It matches the Rfam family "Bacterial small subunit ribosomal RNA", at positions 505 to 796 of the family's 1533-position model. The record is from RNAcentral.
GUGCCAGCCGCCGCGGUAAUACGGAGGGUGCGAGCGUUAAUCGGAAUUACUGGGCGUAAAGCGCGCGUAGGCGGUUUGUUAAGUCCGCUGUGAAAGCCCUGGGCUCAACCUGGGAACUGCAGUGGAUACUGGCAGGCUAGAGUAUGGUAGAGGAGAGUGGAAUUUCCGGUGUAGCAGUGAAAUGCGUAGAGAUCGGAAGGAACACCAGUGGCGAAGGCGGCUCUCUGGACCAAUACUGACGCUGAGGUGCGAAAGCGUGGGGAGCAAACAGGAUUAGAUACCCCUGUAGUCC